UACAGAGGUCUCAAGCGUUGUUCGGAUUCAUUGGGCGUAAAGGGUGCGUAGGCGGCGCGGUAAGUCGGGUGUGAAAUCUCGGAGCUUAACUCCGAGACUGCAUUCGAUACUGCCGUGCUCGAGGACUGGAGAGGAGACUGGAAUUUACGGUGUAGCGGUGAAAUGCGUAGAUAUCGUAAGGAAGACCAGUGGCGAAGGCGGGUCUCUGGACAGUUCCUGACGCUGAGGCACGAAGGUCAGGGGAGCAAACGGG
Molecule: ribosomal RNA, 253 nt
Filed under: uncultured bacterium
Lineage: Bacteria
Description: partial 16S ribosomal RNA
Rfam family: Bacterial small subunit ribosomal RNA
Source: RNAcentral